Molecule: ribosomal RNA, 1194 nt
Filed under: Triticum aestivum (bread wheat)
Lineage: Eukaryota; Viridiplantae; Streptophyta; Magnoliopsida; Poales; Poaceae
Description: partial small subunit ribosomal RNA
Source: RNAcentral
AUGCCGAGGACGCGGGCGAUGUGCUGCCUCAUGCCGUCGAAGCCCUCCGGCGAUGCGCGCCGCCGCAGCAGCGCGGCGUGCAUUUGCUGCAUCGGCCCCCACCACCGCCCGUCCGGGGGCGGCGCCCUCGCCCCCGUCGACGCGGACAACAGCAGCGUGCGGACGCCGCUCACCAGCUGCUGCGGCGCCGGGGACGCCGUCCGCACGCCGCGCACCCCCAAGACGCCCUCCGCCAGGCGCCUCUGCGGCGUCCGCUCCCGCACCCCGCGCCGCGCGCAGCAGGUCCGCCGCUUCACUCCGGCACCAGCGCCGGCGCCCGCGGCACCUGCUGCUCCAGCGCGAGCGGCGGCGCCGGCUGCUCCCGCGAGGACUCCUGUGGCAGCUGCUGCAUCGGCUGGAGCGGCGCUGGCUGUUCCUCCGGUGAAGACUCCCGUAUCAGCUGCUGCGUCAGCUGGAGUGCCGCUGGUUGCUCCUCCUCCUGCGAGGACUCCCGUGGCAGCUGCUCCGUCGGCUGGAGCGGCGCUGGUUGCUCCUCCUCCUGCGAGGACUCCCGUGGCAGCUGCUGCUGCUUCGGCUGGAGCGGCGCUGGCUCCUCCUCCUGCGAGGACGCCGCGAACGCCUUCGACGCCGAUCGGGCGGACCCAGCGCGUGUGCUGCGUGACCACCGCGGCGCCAGCGCAGGCCGGCAACGCGAAGUCCAAGUCGGGCACCGCGCGGCGCCGCUGGCUCAGCUCCGCCAGCAAGGCGGUGGCGCAGACGCGCGGCGCGGUCUCCGGCAACGUUCGCGACAGCGGCACCAACCCGCGUGCCAACGGCCACGUCGCCAAGGCGGUCCACAGGGCGGCGCCGCUCGCGCAGGCCGUGGAGCCGCCAGCGCCGGCGAAGGAGGACGAGUCGGUCUGCUCCGACGAGGAGUACGCGAUGCUGUGCCGGGAGGGCUUCUCACGGGAGGACGUCGCCGCCGUCACCAUCCAGGCCUACUUCCGCGCGCACCUGGCGCGGCGGGCGUUCAAGGCGCUGAGGAGCCUGGUGAGGCUGCAGGCGGUGGCGCGGGGCGCGUACGUGCGGCGGCAGGCGGAGGUGGCGGUGCACUGCAUGCAGGCCAUGGCGCGGCUGCAGGCGCGCGUGCGCUCCAGGCAGGCGCUCGCCAAGCCCAAGGACAACGACGACAAGCUCCUGCUGCUGCAGAACUGA